GCAGUCUGCAACUCGAGUGCAUGAAGCUGGAAUCGCUAGUAAUCGCGGAUCAGAAUGCCGCGGUGAAUACGUUCCCGGGUCUUGUACACACCGCCCGUCACACCACGGGAGUCGGGAAUGCCCGAAGCCGGUGGCCCGAUCGAGAGAAGGGAGCCGUCGAAGGCAGGCCGGAUGACUGGGGUGAAGUCGUAACAAGGUACC
RNAcentral lists this ribosomal RNA (201 nucleotides) under uncultured bacterium. RNAcentral describes it as "partial 16S ribosomal RNA". It matches the Rfam family "Bacterial small subunit ribosomal RNA", at positions 1300 to 1500 of the family's 1533-position model. The record is from RNAcentral.